Molecule: unclassified non-coding RNA, 515 nt
Filed under: Hevea brasiliensis (rubber tree)
Lineage: Eukaryota; Viridiplantae; Streptophyta; Magnoliopsida; Malpighiales; Euphorbiaceae
Source: RNAcentral
AAACAAAAAAAACUAGGAAUUAAUAAAAUUCCUAAAUAAUAGACUUAAUAAGAAUAAAAUUAUUAUAGAAUAAAACUCUUAAAUUUCCUCAUUUUACAUGGAACAUAAUUCCUAAAUUGUGUUAGGAUAUCAUCUUCCUAAUUUGCAUUAUUGGUUUGAUACUAUUUCCCAUGUUUUUCAAUUGUGAUUUUCAUUGUGGUUUCAAAGUUUGCUAAAUAGGUCUUUUCACCAUUUCAAUCUCAAAAUAUAUACAUUCAAUGUGCAUAUAGUCCUUUAAGAUGAUCAGUGUCAAAAUUGUUUGAAAAUAACAAGUCUGCAUUAGGAAAAUCUUAGUAGUGUGACUUUGUAAUCUGCAAUUGCAAUUUUCUGUGAGAUAAUAAAUUUUAACAAUGUGUUAUUUUAUCCUUUUAAUAAAAGAGUGUUUGGCUUAACUUAUAAACUGAUCAAACCAACUUAUAAGUUCUAAUUUUUAGCUAAUCCGUUUGUUUUAAAGAUUUUCAAAGCUUAUAAGUAAA